RNAcentral lists this ribosomal RNA (656 nucleotides) under uncultured Vibrio sp. Its description in RNAcentral is "bacterial SSU rRNA". It matches the Rfam family "Bacterial small subunit ribosomal RNA", at positions 56 to 692 of the family's 1533-position model. Lineage: Bacteria; Pseudomonadati; Pseudomonadota; Gammaproteobacteria; Vibrionales; Vibrionaceae. The record is from RNAcentral.
UGCAAGUCGAGCGGAAACGAGUUAUCUGAACCUUCGGGGGACGAUAACGGCGUCGAGCGGCGGACGGGUGGGUAAUGCCUAGGAAAUUGCCCUGAUGUGGGGGAUAACCAUUGGAAACGAUGGCUAAUACCGCAUAACACCUUCGGGUCAAAGAGGGGGACCUUCGGGCCUCUCGCGCCAGGAUAUGCCUAGGUGGGAUUAGCUAGUUGGUGAGGUAAUGGCUCACCAAGGCGACGAUCCCUAGCUGGUCUGAGAGGAUGAUCAGCCACACUGGAACUGAGACACGGUCCAGACUCCUACGGGAGGCAGCAGUGGGGAAUAUUGCACAAUGGGCGCAAGCCUGAUGCAGCCAUGCCGCGUGUGUGAAGAAGGCCUUCGGGUUGUAAAGCACUUUCAGUCGUGAGGAAGGUAGUGUAGUUAAUAGCUGCAUUAUUUGACGUUAGCGACAGAAGAAGCACCGGCUAACUCCGUGCCAGCAGCCGCGGUAAUACGGAGGGUGCGAGCGUUAAUCGGAAUUACUGGGCGUAAAGCGCAUGCAGGUGGUUUGUUAAGUCAGAUGUGAAAGCCCGGGGCUCAACCUCGGAAUAGCAUUCGAAACUGGCAGACUAAGUACUGUAGAGGGGGGUAGAAUUUCAGGUGUAGCGGUGAAAUGCGUA